Molecule: ribosomal RNA, 504 nt
Filed under: uncultured bacterium
Lineage: Bacteria
Description: bacterial SSU rRNA
Rfam family: Bacterial small subunit ribosomal RNA
Source: RNAcentral
AGAGUUUGAUCAUGGCUCAGGAUGAACGCUAGCGGUAGGCCUAAUACAUGCAAGACGAACGGUAAGUUGAGUAGCAAUACUUAGCCAAGAGUGUCGUACGGGUGCGUAACACGUAUGCAACCUACCCUAUACAGGAGGAUAGCCUAGGGAAACCUGGAUUAACCCUUCAUAGUAUUAUUGGAUGGCAUCAUUUGAUAAUUAAAACUGAGGUGGUAUAGGAUGGGCAUGCGUCUGAUUAGUUAGUUGGCGGGGUAAUGGCCCACCAAGACGAUGAUCAGUAGGGGGUUCUGAGAGGAAGAUCCCCCACACUGGCACUGAGAUACGGGCCAGACUCCUACGGGAGGCAGCAGUAGGGAAUAUUGGUCAAUGGAUGCAAGUCUGAACCAGCCAUGCCGCGUGCAGGAAGAAGGCCUUCUGGGUUGUAAACUGCUUUUGCCAGGGGAUAAAAUUUCCAUGCGUGGAAAACUGAAGGUACCUGGUGAAUAAGCCACGGCUAACUACGUG